GAGGUUUGAUCCUGGCUCAGGAUGAACGCUAGCGGCAGGCCUAAUACAUGCAAGUCGAACGGGAUCGGGGGCUUCGGUCCCCGUGAGAGUGGCGCACGGGUGCGUAACGCGUGAGCAACCUGCCCGUCCCACGGGGGAUAGCCCGGAGAAAUCCGGAUUAAUACCGCAUGAGAAUGCAGGUCCGCAUGGGCCUUCAUUUAAAUAUUCAUAGGGGACGGAUGGGCUCGCGUGACAUUAGCUGGUUGGCGGGGUAACGGCCCACCAAGGCGACGAUGUCUAGGGGCUCUGAGAGGAGAAACCCCCACACUGGUACUGAGACACGGACCAGACUCCUACGGGAGGCAGCAGUAAGGAAUAUUGGUCAAUGGGGGGAACCCUGAACCAGCCAUGCCGCGUGCAGGAAGACGGCCCCACGGGUUGUAAACUGCUUUUGCACGGGAAUAACCCCGGUAUGUAUACCGGGCUGAAUGUACCGUGAGAAUAAGGAUCGGCUAACUCCGUG
This 502-nucleotide ribosomal RNA is filed under the name uncultured Olivibacter sp. Its description in RNAcentral is "bacterial SSU rRNA". It matches the Rfam family "Bacterial small subunit ribosomal RNA", at positions 9 to 507 of the family's 1533-position model. Lineage: Bacteria; Pseudomonadati; Bacteroidota; Sphingobacteriia; Sphingobacteriales; Sphingobacteriaceae. The record is from RNAcentral.